This 393-nucleotide ribosomal RNA is filed under the name uncultured bacterium. RNAcentral describes it as "bacterial SSU rRNA". It matches the Rfam family "Bacterial small subunit ribosomal RNA", at positions 30 to 426 of the family's 1533-position model. The record is from RNAcentral.
AUUGAACGCUGGCGGAAUGCUUUACACAUGCAAGUCGAACGGCAGCACGGGGCAACCUGGUGGCGAGUGGCGAACGGGUGAGUAAUAUAUCGGAACGUGCCCAAUCGUGGGGGAUAACGUAGCGAAAGUUACGCUAAUACCGCAUACGAUCUACGGAUGAAAGCGGGGGAUCGCAAGACCUCGCGCGAAUGGAGCGGCCGAUAUCAGAUUAGGUAGUUGGUGGGGUAAAGGCUCACCAAGCCAACGAUCUGUAGCUGGUCUGAGAGGACGACCAGCCACACUGGAACUGAGACACGGUCCAGACUCCUACGGGAGGCAGCAGUGGGGAAUUUUGGACAAUGGGCGCAAGCCUGAUCCAGCCAUUCCGCGUGCAGGAUGAAGGCCUUCGGUUGU